GUGACAGCACGGCAAGCCAGUUGAUAACAAGAGACGUUGUUAUAUAUAUAGUGUUGCGCUUAUUUGUUUGCUAACAGUGCUAUCUUGCUGACCUGCUGUAAGCUGUAGACGAUGACGCGUGCCUGGCUGGUGCUUGCCGUGUGUGGCGUGGGGACGUUCCUGUCGACGGCGUCCUUGACACCAGAGGGACACCGUGUUCGGAAACGUGACGCCACAGUCGUCUACAACCACGGCGUUGUCGUUGUCGAACCGGGCAACUCGGAUGACGAUGAUUCCAGCGAAGAAACUGAGGAAGAAUCACAUUUAAAUAUCACGAUGAUAGACCAGGUUAGCAAUUU
This is a long non-coding RNA of Haliotis rubra (blacklip abalone), 338 nucleotides long. RefSeq lists it as uncharacterized. The transcript is spliced from 4 exons. The record is from RefSeq and is a predicted model, not a curated record. Lineage: Eukaryota; Metazoa; Mollusca; Gastropoda; Lepetellida; Haliotidae.